UUUAGUCUGUGUCAACUUAGUAUCUUUUUUCUAUCGUGACCUUGGAACAAGAUCAUAAUUAACUAUGCCAUAGUUUGAGAAAGUUAUUACUGGAAAAAUGCAAGGUUGAUGAACAUUCAAGCCCAAGAAUACUGCCUUGAAUUCAAAUGAAGAAGAGGAGAAAGGGAAGGUAAAAAAUGCAGAGAGGACAAGCAAGAAACCAACAUAUGAAGCAGGUUUUCAAAUCAGCCUGGAGAUGCUCAGAGCAACAUGAUCCAACUUACAAGGCAGCUCCGCUUCAAGCAGGACAUCGGACAGGAUGACCUUGAGAGGACCUUCACCAUCAACAUUUUUCCAUAACUGUAUGAUACUCCAGUUCCCACAUGAAACACUAUGCUAAGUAUACACUAUGGACUUGCACAUUAAGAGCUGUGAAGGGUUAGAAAAUACAAACAUGUGAAGGAUUUGAGUUGAAAUUUGCUUUUGUCCUGAACAGGAAAAAUCUAAUUCUUAAUUCUGAAAAGAUGACACCUUCAGUCUUUCAGGAGCCUUCACUUAAAUAAUGAGAUUCAGUGUUAUACACAACUGAAAUAAUAUUUUUUUUAAGUCACUAUAUAAAUAGUACAUAAAUGUAUGAAAUAAGAGGGCUUUUCCCUUGAACAGAAUUUUGAGUGAAAUUCCCUUGAUUUUUACCAUUAAAAACUACUUAAUCUAUUAGUUUGAAUUAUAAUCUUCCAGGUCCUACAUUACGUACUCUUGACAAACACCAAACAGAAGAGUUCUACAUUAGAAUGAGUUUUGAAUUUAAGUAGAUAAUUUGGACUAAGGAGAAUAAGGGCACAAAUAGUGCAUCAAUCUUCACAAAACAUGGCUGAUCAGGAACUUGGAAAAAUUGCAUUUAAAACAAAUUUAUUUUUCUUUGAUUCUAUUAACAGCAAAAGGAUUAUUCUCUUUUUCUUGCAAGUAUGAAUCUGCAGCAAUGUCACAUUUCUUUUUAGACAACUUUUAUGAGAUUAUUUGAUUAUAUCAUUGAAUUGAGCAAAAAAUGUGGUGUACUAUGUGCCCUCUUAAAUACAGAUCUCAGUGUAUAUUAAUCAAAUCAGAGUAUCUUACAGUGAUUUUGUGGUUAAGAAAACUGGGGCUAUUUUACAUAAAAGUGAAAUAAGUAUUUCAAUUCAUUUUAAUCCAAGCUGUUUAGGAAUAUUUAAGAAGACCAUAUGUGCAAAGAUUUUAUCAAGGUAGAAUCACAUUUAUCUGUAAAACAGGUGAAAGUUUUGGUGUUAAAGACGUUUCCAAUAGAGGAAAUUAUACUUAUUAGAACUCUGCACCACAAAAUACAGGAUGCAAGUGUCAUUUGUUUAUUCCAAAUUUUAAACAUCAUGCAUAUAUUAACAGUGUCUGACAAAAUAAACAGGUUCCUUCUUAUUCAAGAAAAACUAUAAAUUAAUAAAUCAGUGAUAACAUAAUUCAACAGA
This is a long non-coding RNA of Apus apus (common swift), 1454 nucleotides long. RefSeq lists it as uncharacterized. The record is from RefSeq and is a predicted model, not a curated record. Lineage: Eukaryota; Metazoa; Chordata; Aves; Apodiformes; Apodidae. The transcript is spliced from 2 exons.